Molecule: ribosomal RNA, 492 nt
Filed under: uncultured bacterium
Lineage: Bacteria
Description: partial 16S ribosomal RNA
Rfam family: Bacterial small subunit ribosomal RNA
Source: RNAcentral
AGUGAACGCUGGCGGUAGGCCUAACACAUGCAAGUCGAACGGCAGCACAGUAAGAGCUUGCUCUUACGGGUGGCGAGUGGCGGACGGGUGAGGAAUACAUCGGAAUCUACUUUUUCGUGGGGGAUAACGUAGGGAAACUUACGCUAAUACCGCAUACGACCUACGGGUGAAAGCAGGGGAUCUUCGGACCUUGCGCGAUUGAAUGGGCCGAUGUCGGAUUAGCUAGUUGUCGGGGUAAAGGCCCACCAAGGCGACGAUCCGUAGCUGGUCUGAGAGGAUGAUCAGCCACACUGGAACUGAGACACGGUCCAGACUCCUACGGGAGGCAGCAGUGGGGAAUAUUGGACAAUGGGCGCAAGCCUGAUCCAGCCAUACCGCGUGGGUGAAGAAGGCCUUCGGGUUGUAAAGCCCUUUUGUUGGGAAAGAAAAGCAGCAGGUUAAUACCCCGCUGUUCUGACGGUACCCAAAGAAUAAGCACCGGCUAACUUCGUG